AACAGACACUUGCCUUGCAGUACUGCAUCCUUGGGCAGGGUAGGGAAUGAGUGGGCUUUCCCCCAGGGUGAACCCACACACUUCCUCCACACUCUCACCUGCUUCACACAAAAUCACAAUCUUAUGAUCUUCAGCUCCCAGCUCAGGAAACCCAUAGAACCUUCCAUCCAGCUCACCAUUGAGUUUGGCAGGUUUUUGACCAUCGGUACAUCCCACCAUGGCUACAAAACAGUUAUUUUGUUUUUAAUGCACCAAGAUAGCUAUUAACUUUACAGCACCACUCAGAACACUCGACAAUAAAUCGCUUAAUUCAAAAAAAAAAAAAAAUAGAAGCCUAGUGAGCCCUUAAUGGAAACAUAGCUAAAUCAAAUAUGAUACUUUCUAGGAUUUUCCUACAUAAAAUAAUGAAAAACCUUUCAUUAUUAAAUCAGAACUUACAAAUCAAAAUGUAUGAAGUUAUUUCUCCCCACAUGUUUUUAAUGAUAUGAAUAAGCACCACAUUGUGUAUAUUUUAAAUUAACCUUAAUGCCAUCUAGUGGUCAUUGAGAAAUUUUCAUCUCAGAAAGUUGACAACUAGAAAUUUAAAAAUUAUUAAUAAUAAAAAUACUGCUUUUGUUGAAGAGAUUUAAGGAAUGUCCACAAUGUUCCAGGACAGUGCUUGGCACUGUACAUGGUUUAUCUCAUUUUCUCUCUACAAUAACCUUAAUUAGUACUAUAACUCAUUAUACAGAUGAAGAAACUAAGGCAUAGUGGUAUUAAAUAACAUGCAUACUCACGGAUAUAGUAAAAGCCUAGGUGGAAUUCAAACCCAAGUAGUCAGCGCAUUGCUUUCAAACUCAAGCAGAAGGCUAUACUUUUACUAAUAAACCUCAGCUUUGACUGAAAGAAUAUGGCUGAUAGACUAACACACACUCUCUGUUAAUGUGUCUGAAGGAAGGCACAGCCCUCACUUCUCCACUCCACAUCCAACUCCCUGCACGGUGCAGUUCCUGGGUUUCUCCUUCAAGCACUAUUUCUAUGGUGUGGGGAUUUUUACACAUUUGCAAUUCAUAUCUGACAUCUCUAAAAUGUGAUAGAUUCACUCGUUCAUGCAACAAAUAUGUCCUGAAUUCUUAUGCACUAGACUGUGCCAGGUGCUGGGAGUGCAACAGGGAACCAAACAGACCCAGCCCCUCCUUUCAUGGAGCUUCAAGUGCAGGAGGAGGACAGGUGGACGUAAAUUACACGGAGGUACAAUCACAUCAGGGAAAGGGCUCCCUGAAGAAAUGUGGGGUGUUGGCAGGGUGCUUUUAGCAGGACGACCUUCCUCUGCGACCUGAGUGGUGAUGAGAAGAGAAGCAUGGGAACGAGUGGGCGUGAGCGAGGUGUCGGAUAGAGGAACUACAGACGUGAGUGGCCAGCAGAGGGCAUCUUCUACCCUUCCGCUGAACUCCCAGCAUUGCACUCACCCAGGGCAAGCGCAACAGGAAGUCUACUACAAACCAGGCACCCUGGAUUCUUUUGCCGUAAAAGGAAUUUGUAUCAAAGGCCAUAAUUAAAUCAUACCUUUUUCAUACUUUGAACAAAUCACUUUUACUAAAAAUACUAAAUUGCAUCAUAUUGAAACUGUUUUGAAGACCCAAAUAUAAUGGUGACUCUGCUGAUUAAAGUUUCCGUUGGUACUUUAUGAAUAAUUCAAGUGUCUCUUAAAUGAGAUUUUUUUUUGUUUGGUUUGAGAUUAUGAAAAUAACACUUAUGACAGGUAAUAUAACAUAGAAAGAAUAACAAAAAAAAGCUGACAUCCACAUCUUAUAACCCAGAGACAAACAAUCUCAACAUUUUAGAAUGUUCCUUCUAGUCUUUUUUCUGUGGCUAUUUUACAAAGAAUAGAUUAUAUAGACAAGUUUUAUUUUUAUUUAUCUAUUUUUCUUUUAGGGCUGCACCCACAGCAUAUGGAGGUUUCCAGACCAGGGGUCAAAUCAGAGCUAUAACUGCCAGCCUACGCCAGAGACACAGCAAUGCCAGAUCCAAGCUGCGUCUGCGACCUAUACCACAGCUCACGCAACACCAGAUCCUUGACCAACAGAGCAAGGCCAGGGAUCAAACCUACAUCUUCAUGGAUACUAAUGGGGUUCGUUAACCACUGAGCCACAAAGGGAACUCCCAAUAUACAGACAAGUUUUAAUUUAUUCAUUUAACAUAAUCAUUAUUUUACUUGUUAUUAUACACUCUUUGCUAACAUUAUUUUAACAUUAUGUACCUAUAAUGUUAGGUACAAAUAAAAUAACAUUAUUUUAACAGCUAGAUAAUAUUUCAUUAUAUAGAUUGAGUCCAGUUUCCCUAACUUAUUUCCCAAUUUUUGAGUAUGAAGUAUUUUCGAUGUUUAAUAUGUAACAAAUUAUAGAUAAAUAAUAAAUGGCAUAUGGCAAUAUGUAAUAAAUUAUUGCAUGCCAUGAUACUUAUUUCUUUAAAACAUGGCCUAGUCACCAGAAUAGAAUUUAGUAAAAAGUAAACAUUACUGUCAAGUGAUUAAGUAACUGAGACAGCUUAUUUGCCUGUCUGAAGAGAAUUUAGGAAAGUAACAAAGCAAAUUACAAAGGCAAAAAAAUCACUGCUCGAGAACACCGACAUCUAACCUGUGCCCCAUCCUCCGCCCCCUCCACUUCUUUCUUGAACUAUUGGCUGGUUCUACCUCCAUCUUAAGACAAGCUGCAGUAAAAGUUAAUAGGUAUUUUUGUCAUGUUAGAGAAUCCCAGCAAGCCAUCCUAAAGUCCCAUUUGUGAAGUGAUGUGUCACAUUAACACAUUUUAUGGGCUUAGUCUUGUGCUGCCUAAUUGAAUAAUUUACUAUCUGUGACAUUAGCUUGAUUCACACAAUAACACACACAAACACACAAUCCAUACAGAAGAUUUGUAAGUGAUUACAUCUCAGCUUUCCAUUCUCUGAAUAUGCCCUGGUGCUUUUCAAGCUGAUCUUCAGUGCCACUUACAUGAACCAGCUUAUGAGCCAUUUAUGAGCCACCAUUUAUGAACCAGCUUCCAUCUCUUUGACAUUAGAUAUUUACUUGAUGUGGAAGCAAACUGGGAUUGAAACUUUUCUUCUUCUAGUUGGGUUCUGUUAAGUACACAUAUGCUGAUUUUUAAGAUGCUGGGACUCUUUUUUUUUUUUUCUGUCUUUUUAGGGCCACACCCACAGCAUAUGGAAGUUCCCGGUCUAGGGGUCAAAUUGGAGCUGUAGCCGCCAGCCUAUGUCACAGCCACAGCAAUGCAGGAUCUGAGUCGCGUCUGUGACCUACACCACCGCCCACAGCAACACCAGAUCUUAACCCAAUGAGCAAAAUCAGGAAUCAAACCUACAUCCUCGUGGAUAUCAGUCAGGUUUGUUAACUGCUUGUUCACAACGGGAACUCUGAUGCUAGGACUCUUGAACAGAGUUUCCACAGAAAGGCAUGGGCAAGACCGAGAUGACACAUCCAUUGUGCCGUGAAUAAGGUCAGUACUAGAUAAAAAGGGAUACCCUGAACAGUGGUGGAUGAGACCUUUCAGACCCUGCAGCAAUGCCUUCACUCCAUGCCAGCAUCUGAAAAGAGUGACUACACAGAUUGAUCCCCAGUGACCACACAAAUGGAUGCCACUUAGCCCGAAUCUGAUGGAAGCAGGGGAUAUUUGGAGUUAAGACUGACAUUUCAGAGUCAGACUCACUAGGCUUUGUUAUUGGUUCAUCCAUAUACUACAAAGGCCCAGGGCAAGUAACUUAACAUUUUUAUAAGUCACUUUUCUCCUUUAAAAAAAAAGAUAACAAUAGUGCCUGCUAUAUCAGAUUUUGAGAAGACUGAAUGAAAUAAUCCAUGGAAAGCUCCUAACACAGUAUCUGGCAUGUGGAGAGCACCCAAUGAGUUGUUAUUAUUGUAAUUGUUCUUUACUUAUAUCAAUGAGUUAAAUAUUUUUCUCCCAUUAAAUCAAUGUGAUGAAGAAUGUACUCCUCAAACAUCUCUUAUUCCUCUUCAAUAUGCUGUCAAGAUCUGUCCACCUUGGCACCAGCUUACAUUUGAAACACACAACUUGCUGAAGGGCAGAAGGAGAGGUAAUGAGUGCCUUAGAAUUACCUCCACCCAAAGAAAUAUUUCCUUUUAUUCAUCCCCAAAUCCCAUGAAGGCAAGAACCUUGUCUGCCUUGUUGACCAGCAGCAAGUACAAUGCCUAGCACAUAAAAAGAACAUGCAUAGUAUAUACUUGAGUAAGUACAUGAACAGUCCUAAAACAACUCCCCUAUUUUGCAAAUGCCUAUUUCAGAGCUCAGUUCAAGUGAACACAUUUUCUCUCUUUUUAUAGAAGUCACCAUAAUGAAACCUUCUGUCACGCUUUCACUUGACCUCAGAUAUGCCACUGCUCUUGGUGACACAGAGGCAAUCUUGGAUUUCUCAUGAAAAAGCACCAUGUGCCAACCUAAGGGAACCCAGCUGGUACUCACCAAGGUCUACAACAUUUUUCUAACUCUUCAGAACAAGUUUUAGCCUUUUUGGAAGCCUAACUUAGUAAACAAGUCUAACUCCAUGCAAAUUAGACCCUACAUUUGAAAGUUGAAAUUUCAUCACCUCUGCUGUUUUCUGAGCCCUCAUUCAACUGGAAUAUUUGUUUAUAGCACUAAAAGGUAUGAAAUCUCUAAAUUAUGGAUUAAAUUUUGUUCAAACCAUUAUAAGAUGAAUCCAUGGCAUUAGCCUCUAGCAACAUACCAACCUAUAUUAUUUUCUGCACACACCCCCUCCUCCAGCCAAGCAACUAUCUCCUCUUCUCUUACAAAUCCCUCAUCUCUGUUCUGUGUUUUUUCAGACUACCCAGGUCAGAGCAAUUUACUGAGAUUGGAGUUCCUGUCGUGGUGCAGUGGUUAACGAAUCCGACUAGGAACCAUGAGGUUGCGGGUUCGAUCCCUGCCCUUGCUCAGUGGGUUAACGAUCCGGCGUUGCCGUGAGCUGUGGUGUGGGUUGCAGACGCGGCUCGGAUCCCGCGUUGCUGUGGCUCUGGCGUAGGCCGGUGGCUACAGCUCCGAUUCAACCCCUAGCCUGGGAAUCUCCAUAUGCCGCGGGAGCGGCCCAAGAAAUAGCAACAAUAACAACAACAA
RNAcentral lists this long non-coding RNA (5096 nucleotides) under Sus scrofa (pig). RNAcentral's name for it is "lncRNA (ENSSSCG00000053236.1)". Lineage: Eukaryota; Metazoa; Chordata; Mammalia; Artiodactyla; Suidae. The record is from RNAcentral.